GACGAACGCUGGCGGCGUGCUUAACACAUGCAAGUCGAACGGAAAGGCCUUUUCGGAGGUACUCGAGUGGCGAACGGGUGAGUAACACGUGGGUGAUCUGCCCUGCACUCUGGGAUAAGCCUGGGAAACUGGGUCUAAUACCGGAUAGGACCGCACUUUAGUGUGUGUGGUGGAAAGUUUUUUCGGUGUAGGAUGAGCCCGCGGCCUAUCAGCUUGUUGGUGGGGUAAUGGCCUACCAAGGCGGCGACGGGUAGCCGGACUGAGAGGUUGGUCGGCCACAUUGGGACUGGGAUACGGCCCAGACUCCUACGGGAGGCAGCAGUGGGGAAUAUUGCACAAUGGGGGCAAGCCUGAUGCAGCGACGCCGCGUGGGGGAUGACGGCCUUCGGGUUGUAAACUCCUUUCGCCAGGGACGAAGCGUUUUGUGACGGUACCUGGAGAAGAAGCACCGGCUAACUACGUG
RNAcentral lists this ribosomal RNA (463 nucleotides) under uncultured bacterium. RNAcentral's name for it is "partial 16S ribosomal RNA". It matches the Rfam family "Bacterial small subunit ribosomal RNA", at positions 28 to 507 of the family's 1533-position model. The record is from RNAcentral.